Molecule: Y RNA, 102 nt
Filed under: Microcebus murinus (gray mouse lemur)
Lineage: Eukaryota; Metazoa; Chordata; Mammalia; Primates; Cheirogaleidae
Description: Y RNA (ENSMICG00000042679.1)
Rfam family: Y RNA
About the family: Y RNAs are components of the Ro ribonucleoprotein particle (Ro RNP), in association with Ro60 and La proteins. The Y RNAs and Ro60 and La proteins are well conserved, but the function of the Ro RNP is not known.
Source: Rfam by way of RNAcentral
GGUUGGUCUGAGUACACUGGCAUUUACAACUAAUUGAUGACAACCAGUCAUAGAUUUCUUUGUUCCUUCUCCACUCCCACUGCUUCACUUGACCAGUCUUUA